UAUGGCUCAUUUACAGGGUCAAGGCAUAUGAUGCCUGGCUUACCUGGACGGCAUUCUACUCUCCUACCAGAAUCGCAACCACCUUCUUUUAACUACAGAUUAGAGGGUGACCAUGUCUGAAUCCCUCGGCUUCCUGGUCAAAUCAAGAAAAGUCAACACUGACUCCAACUCAAUAUGUGCAAGUCCUUGGGUUCGACAUCGACUCCCUGUCAUGUACACUUCGACUUCCAACUAACACAGUCAUGGCAAUACGCAAGGACAUACGGAAGAUUCUACGUUGGGAUUUAAUCCCACUCAGAC
This is a non-coding RNA of Pelobates cultripes (western spadefoot toad), 300 nucleotides long. The record is from the annotation of a GenBank genome assembly. NCBI's taxonomy places the organism in Eukaryota, Metazoa, Chordata, Amphibia, Anura, Pelobatidae.